UAUGAGAGUAUAGUAGUACAGCAGUAUAGUAUAGUAGUAUAACAGUAAAACAGUACAGCAGCACAGCAGUAUA
Non-coding RNA from Pangasianodon gigas (Mekong giant catfish), 73 nucleotides. NCBI's taxonomy places the organism in Eukaryota, Metazoa, Chordata, Actinopteri, Siluriformes, Pangasiidae. The record is from the annotation of a GenBank genome assembly.